GUCAAGCAGCACCAGGCUUGGUUACCAGUACACACUGCCGUGACGCAGAAAAGCUCACAGGAACAUCCUGCAGGUGAGGACAGUGAGGAAUGACCCGUGUGGGAGGGCAGCAAGGCCCAGCGCCUGGGCUCCGGCUGGGGUGGGGUAGGGGUGUCCAAAGUCCCCACCCAGAGAGGGCCGGGGUGGACCCCUGUGUUCCCCACUUCCUGUUUCCCUGAGCCUGCAGCAGAGUUCUGUGGGGGCGGAACCAGUGACUUCUCUCUCAGGAGAGAGGCACCCAAGGACCAGGGGGCUCUUUGCCUCUCCCUGCACCCUGCAGGGAUCUGCUUGCUCAUUUGUAAACUGGGGAGUCCGGUUCGGAUCGAAGUCUUCUGUGGAACCGGUGCUUUCACCCAGCUCUCCUCUGCCGGCGUCACUCUGAGAGCAGCUGCCCACUGUCUCAGGGGUACUUUUCAGGAGCAACACUUGGCCGGAAGCCGGGAAACCGAGGGGGCCGGGACACUGGCGAGCCGCUGCCCACCUUCCGGUCCAGCCCGGGGCUCAGUGCUGCGGCGCGUGCGCUCUUGCCAGACCCCCCUCCCCCGACACACACUUGGCGCGCAUCUCAUGCACCCAGGGCUCGCCUCAUGGGGGCGGAGCCGGGUCUUCCUCAUCUCCUCCAACAGAUUCUGUGCUGCGGGAACUGGGAGCCCACGCUGCUCAGGAGCUGGGAAGCCACGGAGCCGCCGACUCGGGCCUUGCCUGGACGCCGUGAGAGCCCGGAAGCCCGGCUCGUCCUGCGGAGCCGGCUGAGGGCCAAACACCCCGCCUCCCAAGGGGAUUGGUGCAGCUCCACAUUGGUCCGCCUGAAGUCCACCUGGUCUGGUAUUGAUCUUAUUACUUUGCCU
RNAcentral lists this long non-coding RNA (887 nucleotides) under Heterocephalus glaber (naked mole-rat). RNAcentral describes it as "lncRNA (ENSHGLG00100046891.1)". Lineage: Eukaryota; Metazoa; Chordata; Mammalia; Rodentia; Bathyergidae. The record is from RNAcentral.